This is a non-coding RNA of Protopterus annectens (West African lungfish), 633 nucleotides long. Lineage: Eukaryota; Metazoa; Chordata; Ceratodontiformes; Protopteridae. The record is from the annotation of a RefSeq genome assembly.
CGCAAGGGUGCCUCACUUCGUGCUGCAACCCACAAUGUGUCCUGUGAUGAUGUGUUUAGUGUUAGUUUUAUUUAUGUUCAUGCCAGAUUUCAGUUUUUGCGAUUCAGUUAAACAAAAUAAAAGACAAAUGAUUUCCAAGGAAGGAGAGGAAGUAACACUUUGGUGCACGUACGAAAGCAGCAAUCAGUACAUACACCUUUACUGGUACCGUGUGUAUCAGAACCGGGCAUUUCAGUACAUUCUGUACAAAGGAGCCAGGUCCCGGUCUGGAUACGAUAACACCGCAGAGUUUGCUAAACAGAGGUUUUCUUCAAGGGCAGAUAGUAAAAGCACAACCCUGACCAUCACACAGACCUCCCUGUCUGACUCUGCCAUUUAUUACUGCGCCCUUGACUUGACCGUAACCACAGUGUGGGAAUGUAAUGAGAGACCCGCACAAAAACUAAGUGCUACAGUAGCUGGUGAUGUUCCAGAAAGGUCUGAUUAUUUUAUUUAGGAAGGUGCCCACUUUAGUAGCACAUUAAAAUUAUAGCACUUAGAAAACUAUUUUUCAAACAGAACUUACUAAUUUUGUAUCCCCCAAAAUUGGUGAUCUUCAUUUAAUUAAACAGAGUUGUGGUAUGUUCCAGCAUG